GGGGGCACCCUGACCGAGCAACGCCGCGUGAGUGAAGAAGGUUUUCGGAUCGUAAAGCUCUGUUGUAAGUCAAGAACGAGUGUGAGAGUGGAAAGUUCACACUGUGACGGUAGCUUACCAGAAAGGGACGGCUAACUACGUGCCAGCAGCCGCGGUAAUACGUAGGUCCCGAGCGUUGUCCGGAUUUAUUGGGCGUAAAGCGAGCGCAGGCGGUUUGAUAAGUCUGAAGUUAAAGGCUGUGGCUCAACCAUAGUUCGCUUUGGAAACUGUCAAACUUGAGUGCAGAAGGGGAGAGUGGAAUUCCAUGUGUAGCGGUGAAAUGCGUAGAUAUAUGGGGGAACACCGGUGGCGAAAGCGGCUCUCUGGUCUGUAACUGACGCUGAGGCUCGAAAGCGUGGGGAGCGAACAGGAUUAGAUACCCUGGUAGUCCACGCCGUAAACGAUGAGUGCUAGGUGUUGGAUCCUUUCCGGGAUUCAGUGCCGCAGCUAACGCAUUAAGCACUCCGCCUGGGGAGUACGACCGCAAGGUUGAAACUCAAAGGAAUUGACGGGGGCCCGCACAAGCGGUGGAGCAUGUGGUAUAAUUCGAAGCAACGCGAAGAACCUUACCAGGUCUUGACAUCCCGAUGCUAUGUCUAGAGAUAGAAAGUUACUUCGGUACAUCGGUGACAGGUGGUGCAUGGUUGUCGUCAGCUCGUGUCGUGAGAUGUUGGGGUUAAGUCCGCA
Molecule: ribosomal RNA, 726 nt
Filed under: Streptococcus salivarius
Lineage: Bacteria; Bacillati; Bacillota; Bacilli; Lactobacillales; Streptococcaceae
Description: bacterial SSU rRNA
Rfam family: Bacterial small subunit ribosomal RNA
Source: RNAcentral